RNAcentral lists this ribosomal RNA (440 nucleotides) under uncultured bacterium. RNAcentral's name for it is "partial 16S ribosomal RNA". It matches the Rfam family "Bacterial small subunit ribosomal RNA", at positions 338 to 795 of the family's 1533-position model. The record is from RNAcentral.
CCUACGGGGGGCAGCAGUGGGGAAUAUUGCACAAUGGGCGAAACCCUGAUGCAGCGACGCCGCGUGAGUGAAGAAGUAUCUCGGUACGUAAAGCUCUAUCAGCAGGGAAGAAAAUGACGGUACGUGACUAAGAAGCCCCGGAUAACUACGUGCCAGCAGCCGCGGGAAUACGUAGGGGGCAAGCGUUAUCCGGAUUGACUGGGUGUAAAGGGAGCGUAGACGGGAGAACAAGUAUGGAGUGAAAUCCCGGGGCUUAACCCCGGAACUGCUUUUUAAACUGUUCGGUUGGAGUGCAGGAGAGGUAAGCGGAAUUCCUAGUGUAGCGGUGAAAUGCGUAGAUAUUAGGAAGAACACCGGUGGCGAAGGCGGCUUACUGGACUGUAACUGACGUUGAGGCUCGAAAGCGUGGGGAGCGAACAGGAUUAGAUACCCUAGUAGUC